This 93-nucleotide small nuclear RNA is filed under the name Spermophilus dauricus (Daurian ground squirrel). Lineage: Eukaryota; Metazoa; Chordata; Mammalia; Rodentia; Sciuridae. The record is from RNAcentral.
GUGCGAGCUUCAGCAGCACAUAUACUAAAAUUGGAAGGAUACAGAGAAGAUUAGCAUGGCCCCUGCACACUUCAUGAAAUGUUCCAUAUUUUU